GACGAACGCUGGCGGCGUGCCUAAUACAUGCAAGUAGAACGCUGAAGGAGGAGCUUGCUUCUCUGGAUGAGUUGCGAACGGGUGAGUAACGCGUAGGUAACCUGCCUUGUAGCGGGGGAUAACUAUUGGAAACGAUAGCUAAUACCGCAUAAUAGUAGAUGUUGCAUGACAUUUGCUUAAAAGGUGCAAUUGCAUCACUACCAGAUGGACCUGCGUUGUAUUAGCUAGUUGGUGGGGUAACGGCUCACCAAGGCGACGAUACAUAGCCGACCUGAGAGGGUGAUCGGCCACACUGGGACUGAGACACGGCCCAGACUCCUACGGGAGGCAGCAGUAGGGAAUAUUCGGCAAUGGACGGAAGUCUGACCGAGCAACGCCGCGUGAGUGAAGAAGGUUUUCGGAUCGUAAAGCUCUGUUGUAAGAGAAGAACGAGUGUGAGAGUGGAAAGUUCACACUGUGACGGUAUCUUACCAGAAAAGGACGGCUAACUACGU
RNAcentral lists this ribosomal RNA (494 nucleotides) under uncultured bacterium. RNAcentral's name for it is "partial 16S ribosomal RNA". It matches the Rfam family "Bacterial small subunit ribosomal RNA", at positions 28 to 506 of the family's 1533-position model. The record is from RNAcentral.